Non-coding RNA from Arabidopsis thaliana x Arabidopsis arenosa, 122 nucleotides. Lineage: Eukaryota; Viridiplantae; Streptophyta; Magnoliopsida; Brassicales; Brassicaceae. The record is from the annotation of a GenBank genome assembly.
AUAAUCUAUUUAACAACUCAACUCAUCAAAUGAAAUGAGUUAUGGAUUGACCCAACCCUUUUAACAAAAUGAGUUGGGUCAACCCAUAACUCAUUUGAUUAUGAAUUGAGUUGAGUUGGGUU